GAUGAACGCUGGCGGCGUGCCUAAUACAUGCAAGUCGAACGGAAAGGCGCGGCUCUUGCGGGGCGCAUGUGAGGCGAAGGGGGGAGUAAAACGUGAGUAACCCGCCCCUGACUGAGGGAUAACACCAGGAAAAAGGGGCUAAAACCGGAUAUGAUCUUCUGCAGCACGGUGGGGGAUGGAAAGUUACGGCGGUGCGGGCUGGACUCGAGGCUUACCAGCUUGAUGGUCAGGUAGUUACGUACCAAGGCUUCGACGGAUAGCCGGCCUGAGAGGGUGACCGGCCUCAUUGCGCCUGAGGUACGGCCCAGACUCCUACGUGCCGCAGCGGUGGAGAGUAUUACGCAGUGGGCGGGAGCCUGAUACGGCGGCGCCGCGUGCGGAAUGACGGCCUUCGAGUUGUGAACCGAUUUCGCCUGUGCCGUAGCGUGAGUGACGGUAAUGGGUAAAAAAGCACCGGCUAACUACGUG
RNAcentral lists this ribosomal RNA (468 nucleotides) under uncultured bacterium. RNAcentral describes it as "partial 16S ribosomal RNA". It matches the Rfam family "Bacterial small subunit ribosomal RNA", at positions 28 to 507 of the family's 1533-position model. The record is from RNAcentral.